AGGCUGCAGUAAGGAAUAUUGGUCAAUGGACGAAAGUCUGAACCAGCCAUGCCGCGUGGAGGAUGAAGGUCCUCUGGAUUGUAAACUUCUUUUAUAUGGGACGAAAAAAGGGUUUUCUAACUCGUCUGACGGUACCAUAUGAAUAAGCACCGGCUAACUCCGUGCCAGCAGCCGCGGUAAUACGGAGGGUGCAAGCGUUAUCCGGAUUCACUGGGUUUAAAGGGUGCGUAGGUGGGUUGGUAAGUCAGUGGUGAAAUCUCCGAGCUUAACUUGGAAACUGCCAUUGAUACUAUCAGUCUUGAAUACCGUGGAGGUCAGCGGAAUAUGUCAUGUAGCGGUGAAAUGCUUAGAUAUGACAUAGAACACCAAUUGCGAAGGCAGCUGGCUACUCGGAUAUUGACACUGAGGCACGAAAGCGUGGGGAUCAAACAGGAUUAGAUACCCUAGUAGUC
This 452-nucleotide ribosomal RNA is filed under the name uncultured Terrimonas sp. RNAcentral describes it as "bacterial SSU rRNA". It matches the Rfam family "Bacterial small subunit ribosomal RNA", at positions 346 to 795 of the family's 1533-position model. The record is from RNAcentral. Lineage: Bacteria; Pseudomonadati; Bacteroidota; Chitinophagia; Chitinophagales; Chitinophagaceae.